Long non-coding RNA from Venturia canescens, 2668 nucleotides. RefSeq lists it as uncharacterized. The record is from RefSeq and is a predicted model, not a curated record. Lineage: Eukaryota; Metazoa; Arthropoda; Insecta; Hymenoptera; Ichneumonidae. The transcript has 3 exons.
GAUCCUUGUAUGAUCGUACGAUGUGAUCGGCCAGGCAAAUACGUGUAUUCUCAAGCAAUAACAUCGCAAAUGUGUGUUAAUUCCCUAAGAAUACGCGUCGCCAACCUGGCCUCAAUGGUCGAAGUUUCAUGAUGCCAUUGAACUUGCUAUAUAAUAUUUGAUUAUUCAUUAUUAUACUAAAUUCGCCGAUGUAUGAUAUUCUCGGUAAUGUCCAUGUUACGUUGGAGAUGCGAGCGUUGAUGCGUGACGUUGUUACGAGUCCGACUCCUAGUUACAACUGUGUAUUCUCAAGCAAUAACAUCGCAAAUGUGUGUUAAUUCCCCAAGAAUACGCGUCGCAAGCCUGGCCUCAUUUAUAUCGCGCGACAACUUUUCCAAAAUUCUCUCUUCGUAUACGAUGACUGAUUUGCAUUAAAAAUCUGAUCGAUUGAUCUUUCCAUUUUUUCAAGAUAAGUCUUCGGUAUUGCUCGAUUCAUCCGUGGUCGCUGCGGAUCAAUGUCGCUGCACUCUUUUUUAACGAAGGCCAAAUUAAGGUCACACAGCGUGGAUCGCGGUGUUGAUUAACGAUUUUGUGCAGUUCGAUUAUCGAUCGAAAUCAUGCAAUAAAUGGCUGAAAUCCAUCGAUGUCGGCAAUGGGGAGGAACGUCUACCAAUCGUUGUCUAUACUCCGAUCUCGAAUGCAUCCUGGAGAAUACCAAAGUUGAGGACAUCGCGUCUUCAACGUUCGACGCUUCGCGGGACCGAUUGAAUUUGAUAAUAUUGCGGAAAAUAAUUUUCAAAGGAAAUCGCGUAAACAAAAUACGUGGAGAAGCUAAAAUGCCUGCGGUCUCGCGCGGAUACGUCAAGAUAACAAGUGCGAAGGUUCAAAAUGAUUUAUAGUCAAUGAUGUUUUUUUUUUGUUUCCACAAGCGUUUAUUCUUUCUCGAUGGCCUAGACUUUCUCGCACGAUGCAUUUAUCGUCCUGGAAAGGAAAGACACGAUGACGCCUGUUACGCGCGAGCCGAAGGAAAAAAAAACGUCUGCCUUGUCCUUUCAAGCGGUGCCCGAGGGCGAUUAUUAUUCUUCUUCUUCUUUCGUCAUCUUCUUUAUUUGAAGCCACGUAGCGAGUCCUUUAUGAAUUUAUGCCCUUUUCAAUAUGAUCUUACGAGAGGCGAAGAGAAAAAAAAAAUUGACGCGAAGAGCAUCAAGUGAGUCGAGCGGUGAAAAAUCCUUGCGACUUUUCAACUUGGCACUCCAACAUUUUUUACUUUUCUUUUAUGUCCAUCCUCGUUUUACAUUUUUCGUGCUUUUGACAUAAUCGUCUUAGCGGUCUGGAAAUGCUUCCAUAUAUCGGUGUGAGCGGAUUCACUUUACGAUCUUUCUAUUUAUGCGAGAACGUACGCGCGACCCACGAAAUUAUAUAAUAUCAAUUGAGAAACCCUGAAAUACGAAAACAAUGGGAAAAUUCGACGCGACCUAUAAUGCAACUGAAUUUAUUUUUUUACGCACAGAAUAAGAGUAUUUUGUCGAGAAGCUAAUUCGAUUAUAAUAUCUUCAAACGAUGCAUCAGCAAUUCAAAGAUACGAUUAAAGAAUAUAUAGCAUUAAAUCACCGUCCGUUAGCCAUGCAAUUGUACGAGCAGCAAGAGUAAAUGGCGCAUUCUACUAAACUAUUUUUCAGCUCAUAUGGAGCGAAACUUGCCUAUUUGUUGGAAAAAAAAAAAAAAUUUUUUCAUUUUUCUAGAAACCUUGCCACGAGAAACCGUCAACGCACUACUUAUUCUAUUUAGGAUUAACGAUAAGCCGAUCGCGUCACUAGAUCUCGCGGUCAUAAUAAUAUUUAUUAGAAUAUGAUAGACUUUUAACGAGGUGAAUACAUUUGAAUAAUCGGAAAAAUCAAAUUUAUCGACUUUAUCGACGUAUUUUUAGGAAGGUUUGAUUUCCAUUAUAUGCGGUAGUCGCUCGAUUUUUCUAUGCUCCUUCUCGAAUGAGAAAAACUGAUGCAUAAAAGUAAUUUGCUACCAGCAUAUGCAAAUAAUACUUGGUUAAAGCCGCAAUGUGACGAGAGAGAACAGGAAAAAAAAAUGAUGAAAUCUUUGGAUGAAAAAUAGAGGAUGACGAUCGCUUUUUUAUAUAGGCGAUGCUCCUACAGAAUAGCUAUUAUUCCGGUAACUAAUAUUAGGAGGAACGAGUUGGUUAAAGCGGAAAGAAGUUGGUAGGUGUGUUCAGAAGGAGCGAGUGACUUCGAUGGAGGUGAUCUCGUUUACUCCAUUUUUAGUAAAAGGGACAUGUACACUGCUGUCAACCCUUAAGCAAUUUUAAAUGUAAAUUAAAGUAUUGGCCCAGUUGGGGCCGGGCCGCGAACCAGAGGGAUAGAAUAAAAAUAAAUGCAAAAAAGAAAUGUCGAGAGAGAAAGAGAAGCUGCGAGGUGCCUCUUGUACAUUUGCAUAUUAAGUGGCCACGACCCAAUAACAUCCUCGUACCUCCGAGAGGCCACCCUCCAACUUUUCAACCCUACUACGAGUUUCACGAGCACUUUCCAACCGAACCCACCAGCGACAACGAAUUCCAUCCUGACGUGUAUACACUGUGUCGGUUUUGUCAGUUUUGUCACAAAACCAAGAGGGCGGGAGGAGCAAAUUAAUUUUCAGACAAUUGAAAAAUACAAAUUUCAUACAUGGAGCGCGUCAA